GUGGAAUUUGUCUUCAAAUUAUUACUGUUAUUAAUCUUGUAUUUAUGCAAAUAUUCUCAGCUUAGUGGUUUCAUUCCAAAUCUCGGGAUUAAUGCAGUCUUUUAUAAAGGUUACAGAGACAGAUACAGAAAAUAGGGGCGUAAUUCAUGUAAAGGUUAAAAAAACGUUGAGAAUAGCAAAAUAUUUUUUUUGAAAUUUGAA
This 201-nucleotide long non-coding RNA is filed under the name Mytilus galloprovincialis (Mediterranean mussel). The record is from RNAcentral. Lineage: Eukaryota; Metazoa; Mollusca; Bivalvia; Mytilida; Mytilidae.